This 2390-nucleotide unclassified non-coding RNA is filed under the name Hevea brasiliensis (rubber tree). Lineage: Eukaryota; Viridiplantae; Streptophyta; Magnoliopsida; Malpighiales; Euphorbiaceae. The record is from RNAcentral.
UUGAGACUUUAGAAAAGUAUUUCUAUUGCUAUUAUUCGAGAACAUAUUGAACACGUACUUUGCUGGCUCUUGAUUUUGAUUUGGUUUUGAAAUAAAGAGGAAGCUGUCUCGUUAAGGACUACGUGGCUUCUGUUUUGGAGGUUUCUGGGGAUGGUUCCUUCUCUAUGCUCUUUGUUUUGUUGUCUAUUCGACAAGUUUCCCUGCAAAAGAUUUGAUUUUCUCGCCUUCCCCUCUAUUUUUUCUUCCUCAUUUCUAAUUUUCUCCUCCAUUGAAAAACUAAGCCAGUUGUAAAGAUUUGCUCUUUUAAAGUCUUGCCAUGUUCUUGAUUUUCUUGGAAAGGAAAUGGGAUUCUUGAGCACUUUCUUGGGAGUUUUUGGUUUUGGAUUUGGACUUCCUAUUGGACUUCUACUUGGGUUCUUUCUCUUUGUUUAUUCUCAUCCAAAAGAUGUUAAGGAUCCAGUGGUUAGACCGCUUCAUGAAUUGGACUCGAGCACCUUGCAAGAAAUUCUGCCUGAGAUUCCAUUUUGGGUGAAAUGCCCUGAUUAUGAAAGAGUGGACUGGUUAAACAAGUUUCUUUUGGAUAUGUGGCCUUACCUUGACAAGGUAAUUUGAUCACUGGACUAGCCUUGAUCUUUCUGAUGCAUUUUUAAACAUUGUACUUGUGAAUUAUUUUCAUGCACAGGCAAUUUGUGCUACAAUAAAAAGCACAACAGAACCUAUAUUUGCAGAGUACAUUGGGAAGUAUAAGAUAGAAGCAAUUGAAUUUGAGCAUCUUACUCUUGGAACUCUUCCUCCUACCAUUCAUGGUGUCAAAGUAUAUGAGACUAAUGAGAAGGAUUUAGUCAUGGAACCAGCAAUUAGGUGGGCUGGCAAUCCCAAUAUAAUUUUGGUGUUAAAAUUAAUGUCUUUACAAGUCAAAGUUCAGGUCAGAAGAGUCUCACUCUAAAGGCAUAAACUUUGAUGAAAGAAUGGUCUUAUUAGUUCCUAUUAAGAGCAUGCAUAUCUUCUAAAAGAUUGGCAAGGCUUUUCUGCAGUUAGUUGAUUUGCAAGUAUUUGCAGCACCACGGAUAGCAUUGAAACCUCUACUGCCUACCUUUCCAUGUUUUGCAAACAUUGUGGUGUCCUUGAUGGAGAGGCCGCAUGUAGAUUUUGGACUAAAAAUUCAGGGAGGGGAUGUAAUGUCAAUACCUGGCCUUUACCGAUUUGUUCAGGUGCUGCACUGGAGAUCAUCAAAAAACAAGUAGCAAGCCUUUAUCUUUGGCCCCAAUCUCUUGAAAUACCUAUCCUUGAUGCAUCAACUGUGGCUGUAAAGAAGCCUGUGGGGAUACUGCAUGUGAAGGUCGUGCGGGCAAUGAAACUCUUAAAGGCUGAUUUCUUGGGAACAUCUGAUCCAUAUGUCAAACUCAGCCUAACAGGAGAGAAGCUGCCAGCAAAGAAAACCACAAUCAAGAAGAAUAAUUUAAAUCCUGAGUGGAAUGAGAACUUCAAGCUUAUUGUCAAGGAUCCUCAAUCUCAAGUUCUUGAACUGCAAGUGUUUGAUUGGGAUAAGGUUGGUGGACAUGACAGAUUAGGAAUGCAGGUAGUUCCCCUAAAAGUCCUGACACCACAUGAUCCAAAAGAAUUUACUCUUGAUUUGCUUAAACACACAAAUAUUGCUGAUCCUCAAGACAAGAAGCGAAGAGGGCAAAUUGUCGUGGAGCUGACUUUUGUGCCUUUCAAAGAAGAUAGUGCAAAAUGCAAUGAACCUUCGGAUGGUGGAAGUGAAAAGUCUUCUGAAGAUGAGAAAUUGAGUGGAGCAGGUUUACUUUCGGUUAUCGUUCAAGGAGCUGAGGAUGUUGAAGGAGAGCAUCACAAUAAUCCAUAUGCAGUAGUGCUUUUCAUGGGAGAAAAGAAGAAAACAAAGAUGAUCAGCAAAACUCGGGACCCGCGAUGGAAUGAGGAAUUCCAAUUUACACUUGAUCAGGCCCCUUUACAUGAGAAGAUCCGUAUUGAUGUUAUGAGCAAGCGGACACGCUUUAGUUUCCGAUCAAAGGAAUCAUUGGGGCAUGUGGAAGUUAAUCUUGAUGACGUAGUGCAUAAUGGACGUAUCAAUGAGAAAUACCAUCUCAUCGAUUCAAAGAACGGAGUAAUACAUGUGGAGAUACGGUGGGAUACAGUUUGAGAAAUGGAAUGAAUGUAAAAUAAUGGAGUGAUGCAUGCUUUUUUUGAGAAUAUACAAUAGCUACAGAAUUUACUACAGAACCAGGAAAAGAGAGAAUCAAAACAACACUGCAUCUAUUUUUUUUUUUCUUUCUUUUAAAUGUUUUAGUUGAUGCUGAAAUUAUACUGAAUGUUGCUCAAACACUACUUUUCUCUUUUUAAUGAAAAUAAUAAUCUUUUGUGGAUCAAAA